Cavia aperea (Brazilian guinea pig) is the source of this 137-nucleotide ribosomal RNA. NCBI's taxonomy places the organism in Eukaryota, Metazoa, Chordata, Mammalia, Rodentia, Caviidae. The record is from Ensembl.
GUCUACAGCCAUACCACCCUGAACGCGCCCGAUCUCGUCUGAUCUCGGAAGUAAGCAGGGUCGGGCCUGGUUAGUACUUGGAUGGGAGAAAAGCAAAUUUAUUGUUUCCUGGUUUUGAAAGCUACAAGUUGAAAAUC